UCCAGCAUGGCAUAGUGGUUUGAGUGUUGGAUUACGACUCUGGAGAUCAGGGUUCAAAUCCUGGCUGAGC
Molecule: non-coding RNA, 70 nt
Organism: Phrynosoma platyrhinos (Desert horned lizard)
Lineage: Eukaryota; Metazoa; Chordata; Lepidosauria; Squamata; Phrynosomatidae
Source: the annotation of a GenBank genome assembly